This 65-nucleotide transfer RNA is filed under the name Chymomyza costata. RNAcentral describes it as "tRNA-Tyr". It matches the Rfam family "tRNA". From Rfam's summary of the family: Transfer RNA (tRNA) molecules are approximately 80 nucleotides in length. Their secondary structure includes four short double-helical elements and three loops (D, anti-codon, and T loops). The record is from RNAcentral. Lineage: Eukaryota; Metazoa; Arthropoda; Insecta; Diptera; Drosophilidae.
GAUUAAGUGGCUGAAGUAUAGGCAAUAGAUUGUAAAUCUAUUUAUAAGAAAUAUCUUCUUAAUCA